Vicia faba (fava bean) is the source of this 291-nucleotide non-coding RNA. NCBI's taxonomy places the organism in Eukaryota, Viridiplantae, Streptophyta, Magnoliopsida, Fabales, Fabaceae. The record is from the annotation of a GenBank genome assembly.
AUGACGACGAUCUGGACGGAGGGCUGGCCGACUGGAUCUGAGCGGAGGGUCGUGUCGGGGUCGCGGCAGAGCAGUGGGUUGCAAGCACGACGUGGAGAUGGAGCUGUCGGAUGCGGUAGCGGACGGCUGACCGCGAGAUUCGUCGGCGCGGGUUGCGUGGAGGGAGCUUCGUCGGGCUUCAUUGGAUUCGCGUUCGUGGAGGACUGGGGCGAGCAGUUAACUCGAUUCGGUGUGGUUGUUUUGGUUGAAUUUUUGUUGUUUUCUAAAUCUCCUUCUGCAAAACAAAAAUAA